AUCACUCACUGUGGGGAAAGCUGGCUGCCCUGAUGUGAGAACACUCAACAAGUCCUAUGGGGAGACCCACAUGGUGAGGAACUGAGGCCACCUGCCAAUGGCAGUGUGAAGGUGCCAUCUUGAAAGUGGACCCUCCAGCCCCAGGCAAGCCUUCACAUAAGACUGCAGCCCCAGCUGAUAUCUUGACUGCCACCUCAUGAAAGACCAUGAACCACAGCCAUCCAGCUAUGCUGCUCCAAGUUCCUGACUCACAGAAACUAUGCCAUCUACUCAAAGAGAGGGACCUUAUUGUCUAGUUUGCUUACUGCCGUGUUCCCAGAACCCGGAAUGAUUCUUGCACAUACGUUUGAUGGAAGCAAGAAACAAAAUCGACUCUUCAGUUUUGAAAUACACAGGAAGACUGGCUUCCGUCUUGUGGCACUCUCUUGUUUUCUUGCCUGCUGGCCGCAUCGAAACAACGAUCGUGUGUGAGCUACCCUAAAGAGAAUCACACGUGGUGAUGAACUGACAGAGGCCUCCAGCCAAUAGCCAAUGAGGAACUGAGGCCCUCAGUGCCACAGCCCAUGAGGAACUGAUCCUGCCCCCACCACUGAUUUCACUUCGAAGUGGAUCCUGACCCGUUGGAAUCUUGAGAUGAGCCCACAGCUGUGGCCAACACCUUGGUUGCAGUCUGUGAGAGGCCGU
This is a long non-coding RNA of Acinonyx jubatus (cheetah), 684 nucleotides long. RefSeq lists it as uncharacterized. NCBI's taxonomy places the organism in Eukaryota, Metazoa, Chordata, Mammalia, Carnivora, Felidae. The record is from RefSeq and is a predicted model, not a curated record. The transcript is spliced from 4 exons.